CAAGAGCGUAUCUUAAAAUUGUUGCAGUUAAAAAGCUCGUAGUUGAACCUUGGGUCUGGCUGGCCGGUCCGCUUUUAUGCGAGUACUGGACCCAGCCGGGCCUUUCCUUCUGGCUAGCCCUCGUGGCGAACCCGGACUUUUACUUUGAAAAAAUUAGAGUGUUCAAAGCAGGCCUUUGCUCGAAUAUAUUAGCAUGGAAUAAUAGAAUAGGACGUUAUGGUUCUAUUUUGUUGGUUUCUAGGACCAUCGUAAUGAUUAAUAGGAACGGUCGGGGGCAUCAGUAUUCAGUUGUCAGAGGUGAAAUUCUUGGAUUUACUGAAGACUAACUACUGCGAAAGCAUUUGCCAAGGACGUUUUCAUUAA
RNAcentral lists this ribosomal RNA (363 nucleotides) under uncultured eukaryote. Its description in RNAcentral is "partial 18S ribosomal RNA". It matches the Rfam family "Eukaryotic small subunit ribosomal RNA", at positions 592 to 976 of the family's 1831-position model. The record is from RNAcentral.